RNAcentral lists this non-coding RNA (29 nucleotides) under Mus musculus (house mouse). The record is from RNAcentral. Lineage: Eukaryota; Metazoa; Chordata; Mammalia; Rodentia; Muridae.
UGGCUACCCAGCAAACUCUCAGGAUCUGC